UAAUACGAAGGGCCCGAGCGUUAAGCGGAUUCACUGGGCUUAAAGCGUACGUAGGCGGAUUGGCCAGCGUCUUGUGAAAUCCCUCGGCUCAACCGAGGAACUGCAGGGCGAACUUCCAAUCUUGAGACAGGUAGGGGCCGUCGGAACGCACGGUGGAGCGGUGAAAUGCGUAGAUAUCGUGCGGAACGCCGAAGGCGAAGGCAGACGGCUGGGCCUGUUCUGACGCUGAGGUACGAAAGCGUGGGUAGCAAACGGGAUUAGAUACCCCGGUAGUCCACGCCCUAAACGAUGUGCACUAGGUCGUGGGUGUUCUGACACACUCUCGAUCGAAGCGAAAGUGAUUAGUGCACCGCCUGGGGAGUACGGUCGCAAGGCUA
Molecule: ribosomal RNA, 377 nt
Filed under: uncultured Planctomycetota bacterium
Lineage: Bacteria; Pseudomonadati; Planctomycetota
Description: bacterial SSU rRNA
Rfam family: Bacterial small subunit ribosomal RNA
Source: RNAcentral